AUUGGGUUUUGAACUAUUUUAAAAUUACUCAGAUUUUUUCAAAUUCAUUUUAAAUUAUCAGAUGAACCACGGCGGAGAUGGUGAUAAUGUCGUCUUAUUGUGGGACUACUACUUCUAUUACUGAUACUAACGGUGUCCGUUUCACGGAGAAGAAUUUACCUACCUCACCGCUUCUUCGCUGUCGAAGCCGUCGAUGGCGGCAUAACCGUACUGUCACUGCUAUUGUUUUGGUUGCUGCACUUUUCCUCUCCACCACGGCCUGGCUGUCUCUCGUCUUCUCCGCCACCACUAUCCGUUGCUGGUUAUGUUUUAAGAACUGGGAAGUAAGCCCCCAUUCGCAUUUUCAUUCUCAUUAUAAACCCUCAUUAGCAUCAUUUCCCUCUCCGCCUCCGCCUCCACCUCCGCCUUCGCCUUCGCCUUCAUACACAUCUCGCAAUCGCAGCAUGUCUGAGCGGGAAGGAGAAGAGGGGUUGUCUCUCAAGCAUAUAGUCUUCGGAAUUGCUGGAUCGUCUCGCCUCUGGAAACAGCGUAAGGAGUUGAUGAGAUUGUGGUGGCUUCCCAACAUGCGUGGCCAUGUCUGGUUGGAGAAAAUGGUGCCGUUUGAGAAGGGCGAUGAUUCCUUACCACCUUCCAGGCUUUCCGAGGACAUUUCCCGCUUCCGCUAUACCAAUCCCACGGGCCAUCCUUCUGGACUUCGGAUCUCUCGCAUUGUAAUCGAAUGUUUUCGCCUCCGACUUCCAAAUGUUCGCUGGUUUGUUCUCGGUGAUGACGAUACCAUUUUCAAUAUUGAUAAUCUCGUUGCUGUUCUUAGCAAGUAUAAUCCUUCUGAGAUGGUGUACAUAGGUAGCCCUUCUGAGAGCCACUCUGCUAAUACCUAUUUUAGUCACUCUAUGGCCUAUGGAGGUGCUGGGAUUGCCAUUAGCUACCCGCUCGCUGAAGCCCUCUCCAAAAUUCAUGAUGAUUGUAUUGAGAGAUAUCCUGAUUUCUAUGGAAGUGAUGACCGGUUACAUGCCUGCAUUACCGAACUAGGUAUUCCGUUAACUGUAGAGCAUGGCUUUCAUCAGUGGGAUAUCAGGGGUAAUGCUCACGGUCUUUUAUCCUCUCACCCUAUAGUACCAUUUGUUUCUAUUCAUCAUGUUGAAGCUGUAGAUCCUUUUUAUCCUGGUUUGACAUCUUUGGAUAGUUUAAAACUCUUCUCCAAAGCCAUGAAAAAGGAUCCUGGGAGCUUUUUACAGAGAUCAAUUUGCUAUGACUGGGCAGGGCGAUAUACAAUUUCAGUUUCACUUGGUUAUGUUGUUCAAGUCUACCCUAACAUUGUGCUUCCUCGUGACCUGGACCGCUCUGAGCAGACUUACUCUGCUUGGAACAGAAUAAGUCACCGCAAUGAAUUUGAUUUUGAUACCAGGGAUCCUAAUAGAUCUGUUUGUAAAAAGCCGAUUUUAUUUUUCUUGAAAGAUAUAGAUGGACAAGGCAAUGCUACAGUGGGAUCAUAUGUACGAGCUACAGGAAAAGAUAAUUUGAAAAGAAAAUUUCUCUGCUUCCUACAUUCAACUCCUCUGCGUUACAUCAAGAAAAUCCAGGUUUUGGGGUAUCCUCCCAGGAAGAAUUGGCAUUUGGUACCUCGUAGAUUUUGUUGCAAGAUAAACAAAUUUGAGGAUGAAAUCCUUAAAAUAACGGUUGGCCAGUGUGGGAAUGGAGCUUUAAGCUCUGUUACUGAUUCUAUGUGAAUGUUGGACGGGAUGAUGGCAAAUAGUCUGAGCACAACUAUAUAGAAUGUGAAUUUAGUAAAGAAGAGGGGAUCUUGACUACAUUGUUAAGCCGCAUCGACUUAACCUCUGUUUUGCAAUGACCAGUAUUCAACUUACAUCCAGCAUUUCAAAACACAUGCUUGCUGAUUGCAGAUAUGGGAAUGCAUUAGUGCUAAUCCUUAGUUUGGAGACAUAUUCUUUGCCUUCAUUUUUCCUGGGAAGAUUCUUUGCAGCAGUUGCAUCAAAAGCUUGCUGCACUAAUAUGAAUAAGUUACUACGUUGUUUGAAGUCUUGCGACUGGUGAAGUGGACUGUUGAAAUAAAUACUUUAAGAGGCAAAGUUAUAGUUUGACAGCACAAUAGACAUUUACAAGAGGCACAUUGCAACAAUGGCUGGACCAGAACCAGGGAGUUUUGGAACGCAUUACUUAGCUUUGGAUAUGGUGGGACCAUACUUGUGGAGUGUGCUUACUCAAAGCGGGUUUUUCGGCACUGUUGAGAGUUAAUAAUGGAUUUGUUGGGAAUUUUUGCCAUCUAGUUGAGAAUGAUAAUAUGAAAUGAAGUAAAGACUUGAAGAGACCGUGGGAAGGAAGAUGUGACAACGCUGUUUGAUUUGAAUCAGAGGGACAUGACGAUGAGCCCUUUACGACAAAGUUGAUGGUGGUGAUGGAGGUUCAAGGUUGGUGUGGGAGACAAGGAGGGAGGCAAUGGAGGCUUGGGGUUGGGUGAUGGAGAUGGUGAAGUUCAGGGAAGUAAGGCUGAGUUUAUGAGGGUGGUGGUAGGGUGACAUCUGAUGAGUUCAUGGUGGUGACAACGACUACUGUUUCUGGUGUUGGCAUUCAAUUUGCGAUUCCGAAGAAUUGAAGGAGUAUGCAGAUAAUGGUGGCAGUUGUGGGUGGCGUCUAUUGAGUUUCAGUUUUGAAGAAGGUAGGUGGUAGAAAGAAGAAAAGAAGAAGAAAUGUGGGUAAAUGGAAUUUUCAAAGUUAAAGGGUGAAAAAGGUUAAUUCAUCAAAGUUCGGUUGGGAAAUAGUUAUUUGGCCUUAAAUUUAUCUAGAUUGAAGUGCCUUAUUCUUGGUUACAACUCUUCUUGACCAUUUUCCUCUUAUGUAUUUUCUACUCCGGAAAAAGGGUUUGUGAUUUACUUGAAAAAAAAGGGAAGAAGAAAAUUUCAACGUUUGUGGGGCUGAGAGUGGGCCUAGUUUGCGAGAAAAGCCCUUUCUUCCUGUUUUCUUUCUCAAAAUUGAUGAAAACACGUGUGCAUCACUGGAUAA
RNA transcript from Mangifera indica (mango), 3018 nucleotides. RefSeq lists it as uncharacterized. The transcript has 4 exons. Lineage: Eukaryota; Viridiplantae; Streptophyta; Magnoliopsida; Sapindales; Anacardiaceae. The record is from RefSeq and is a predicted model, not a curated record.